Molecule: long non-coding RNA, 841 nt
Filed under: Parus major (Great Tit)
Lineage: Eukaryota; Metazoa; Chordata; Aves; Passeriformes; Paridae
Description: lncRNA (ENSPMJG00000008882.1)
Source: RNAcentral
UGGGAACUCCUUCCUUCAGAAUACUGAAAUGCCAACCCACAGGUCGUGUUCUCAAGAACCGGUGCUUUCCUUGCUUGUGUGAACAGUCAUGGCAUCAUGAAGGUGUUUGAGUUUAAAUGAGAAAGGAAUUUUGGUUAUUAACUUAGCACUUGUGCUUCUCCUGUGGGGAUGAGUGAGCUCUUUUUUGGUACCACCAUAGCUCCCAGGAUCAGUUAAUUACAUUAAUUUCAGGAACAGACACAAUUGUCCUCAGAUUUGCUGCAGCCUUACUCUCUCCCUUCUCUAAACUGUAUCAUAUUUUCUUGAGAUGUAAUUUGAAAGUUUUUGCUGUCUUUGAUUCCUUGUUAUGUGGGAGAAACAGAACUAAUCAUGACAUAGUCACAUCUGCAAAGAGGAAAUUUACUUUGGUAAAAUAAACUGAGACACAGACACACUGCAUGUAUAACAAGUAAAAAACUAGGACAUAAACUACACUUGCUAAUGAAUUGUUUCAUAGGGAUGUACAACUUGAAAAAUGAACACCUAAGUGGUGAGCUAUCUUUCUCUGUCCCAGCAUUGCUUUGCUGGAAUGAUGCAUACUCCUGGAGGAAAUGCAGGAUUGCAUUAAUGUUAAGCACUGGUCCCCAGCACCAAGUGGCAAUUUAUCAUCUAUCUUGGCAGGCUUCCCUGCUUCAUCCUGCACCUGCCUCCUUGAAAGAAAACAAGACAUCAGAUACUUAUUCAAAUAAUGCAGUAGCUGAUCAGCAGAGUAUCUACACAAUGAUCUACAGCUUUCAUUGCAUUAGUGAGCAGUGGCCAGAGCUUCAAAGCAGCAGCUGUGUCAAGUGGCCAGGACCACUGA